GGCAUCUUCUUUUAUCAGUUUAUAGUGUAAAUUAAUAAGACUAACGUUGACUAAAAGUCUACCCUGAAUUAAUUUGUCGGACUGACUUCACUUUUCAUUCUCCGACACCGGCUGAUCUCCGUCGCUCUCUGUCAAUGGGGAAAAAUUACUGUGAUUUUAGUCCUUUCUUGUUUCCCUCUACAAUAGUCUCUUAUGAUCCUUCUUCUUCUUCUUCGUCUUCUUCUUAUUCUUCACUUCCAUUGUCUUCUCCAUCAUCUCCAAGUCUAAAUUCCCAUUUUCAAAUCUCAUCAAGUCUUCCAUUACAUCCUUAUUCCCAAUCUUCUUCAAGUUCUUUUCAUCCUCCUCCUCCUCCUGCUGCUGCUGGUGGUCCUUGCGCUGCCUGCAAGAUCCAUGGUCGGCGAUGCACUGACAAAUGUUAUGUGGCUUCUUAUCUACCUAUCAAUGAAGCACACAAAUUCAUUGUCUUUGAUGGACUGUUUGGGGCAACAAAUGUCGUCCAAUUCCUUCAGAACAACAAUUCAUCAUCAUUUAUUCCACUAUUAUUGCUGUUGAGAGACUCGAGUCAAGAAGGGGAACCCCAGGUAGAUCCCAGCUUGAAUUUUGUUCCAUGUGGAACUAACCAACUUGGGGCACCCAAAAAUUCUGACCAUGUAUUGACAAAAGCAACCACAGGAUUGGAGUGUGAUUUCUUAAAUAAUCUCUCUUCAGGACUCAUGUUUGCAAACCCAAAAGAUCCUCAACAGGAACUUCCAUCAUCAUCAUCAUUGGUUCCCAAGAGACAGAAAUUAUAUAAAGUUCCAGAAGACUCGAGUCAAGAAGGGGAACUCCAGGCAGAUUCCAAUAUGAAUAAUGUUCCAUAUGGAACUAACAUAGAUGGUCAAAUUGAGGCACCCAUGAAUUCUAACCAUAUAUUGACAAAAGGGACUGUAGGAUUGGGGUAUGAUUUCUUAAAUAAUCUCUCUUCAGGAGUCCUGUUUGCCAACCCAAAACACCCUCAACAGGAACCUCCACCUUUAAUGGUUUCCAAGAACUGUGGAGUUCCAAAUGUGGUAUCCAAUUCAAUCAACUCCACAGUCAAUCUUAGCAGCAUCUUCAAUAGAGAUACUUCUGAAUCUACACCUCAAUUGCAGCAGAAGCAAACAUUUGUAAAGAUUUACAAGUCAGGGUCCUUUGGCAGGAAGCUGGACAUUGCCAAAUUCAGUAGCUACCAUGAAUUGGUGAGAGAGUUAGAUCAUAUAUUUUGCCUCCAAGGGAAGUUGGAGGAUCCUGUGAGAUCAGGCUGGAAGGUUGUAUUCGUCGACAGGGAGAAUGAUGUUAUUCUUCUCGGUGAUGUUCCAUGGCUGGAAUUUGUAGAAGGGGCGUGCGCCAUUAAACUACUGUCACCACAAGAAGUUCAACAAAUGGGCAGCCAUGACUGGCUCUGAACUUAGAGGACUUUUCCAAUGGUAUACUUGUGAAGACUACUGUUUGAUUAAUGUCAGUUUUGAUCCUACGAUUAAAGAUUCUUUUCUCAAAUCAAGCAUUGAGGGACCCAUAUGAUGAAGUAAGAAGAAAACCAAAUCUAUCAUGAAAUAAAAGGUUUAUAGAUUUAUCAAAUGGCGCCGUCUGUGGGGACGAAAGAGAUUUUUACUAUCUCUAAAGUUCCUAAAUUCACCCAUUGAGAUCCACAUGAAGGUAUGAAAGUUUAUACAAAAAGAAAGCUGGAGGUUUACAAUAACCCAACUGAAAAGAAAAAUUCAUUAUGUUCAGGAUUACUUUGAUAGUCUUUCAGAUAGUUUAUUUUAAUAUUUAUUGAAUUUUAUUACUAUUAAUUUUUUCCUUAAAAUCUAAUGAAGUGAAACUUCAGAUCGAAAUACUUAUCUAAGAGUAUAAAAUCUUAAUAUUUUCUAUAAGAAGGAAAAAAAAGAGUGAUAUAUAUAUUUGUUGAAAUUGUGAGAUCGGCCGUGUAUAUGUGAUUUUAGAGGUUCCUUCCUGUGUAUGGCACAUCGAGAGUACCUUAGUGUUAGGGUUCUAGAAUCUUAAAGGGACUAAAAUGUAAUUUUUCCAACAUGGGAUUUUUCAGAAACAAGAUGGGUAGAAAUUAGUAUAAAAUAGUAGUAUCAAAAGUGUUAUGUCAAUUUCUUGUAAUUCAUUUUCAUGUAUUUAUUAAGGGGGGUGUCACCUCAGAAAUAUUGAUGUCUCCUCCUGCCACAUCCCAACUUGUCCUUAAGGCUCUUUAGGGGGAGUGACUAGUUGGCCACCAGUGGGAACUGGGCCCAACUAGCCACCAUAGGCCUAUCGAGUCCCUGUGCUGUGCCUCCACCCUUGUAGGCGUUCCCCCUUGUCUGCAAGUGGUGCGAGGAUCAUUGUAUUGAAUUGUGUAAUGAUUAUUUUGCUCCUGAAAUGAAAUGAGUAGCCCUUUUAUCAAAAUAUCGGUGCCUACAUGUGAUAUCUUGGUUGCUUAUGUCAUUAUGCUUGUUGGGUGCUAAUAUCUGCUUGAUAUGUUUUUAUCUUGCUCGCUUUAACAGUAUUCUAGCCUCUUGGCUAACCGACGUGCUUCGUUGUGCAGACCAAUGUGUAGAUACAUCGGCUGACUUGCCUUGAUAGCGUUCAAGUUAAGUGCCACACGAUCCCAAUUGAGUGCCAAAGCCUGGGCCCGUGACACCCGGCACCACAAAACCGGCUGAGAUAAUGAAGCGACAGUAAGGCUAAAAAGCCUGAAUCUUGGGCAAGACCUCAGUGAGGUAGGUAACCGCCAUCGGAAAAUGACCCCCGGUACCACAAAAAAUUUGCUAAGAUGAUGAAGCGACAGUAAGGCCAAAGAGCCUGAAUCUUGCGCAAGACCUCAGUGAGAUAGGUAACCGGUCUCGAAAAAUGACUGCCGGCACCACAAAAUCGGCUGAGAGGAAGAAGCCCUCAGUGAGGUAGGUGACUGGUCUCGAAAAAUGACCUCCGGCACCACAAAAUCGGCUGAGAUGAUGAAGUGACAAUAAGGCUAAUGAGCCUGAAUCCCAUGCAAGGCUAGAGAGCCUAGAAGCGACAGUAAAGCUAAAGAGUCUGAAUCUUGCGCAAGACCUCAAUGAGGUAGGUGACCGACCUCAGAAAAUGACUCCCGGCACCACAAAACCGACUGAGAUGAUGAAGCGACAAUAAGGCCAAAGAGCC
Manihot esculenta (cassava) is the source of this 3144-nucleotide RNA transcript. It is a transcript of the gene named auxin response factor 6, with no coding region annotated. The record is from RefSeq and is a predicted model, not a curated record. NCBI's taxonomy places the organism in Eukaryota, Viridiplantae, Streptophyta, Magnoliopsida, Malpighiales, Euphorbiaceae. The transcript has 5 exons.